This 818-nucleotide ribosomal RNA is filed under the name uncultured Candidatus Poseidoniales archaeon. RNAcentral describes it as "SSU rRNA". It matches the Rfam family "Archaeal small subunit ribosomal RNA", at positions 12 to 835 of the family's 1478-position model. The record is from RNAcentral. Lineage: Archaea; Methanobacteriati; Thermoplasmatota; Candidatus Poseidoniia; Candidatus Poseidoniales.
UCCUGCCGGAGGCUACCGCUAUUGGAGUUCGAUUAAGCCAUGCGAGUCGAGAGUCUUAGGGACUCGGCGUACCGCUCAGUAACACGUGGGUAACCUGCCCUAUGCUGGGGAAUAACCUCGGGAAACUGAGAAUAAUGCCCCAUAGUUCACUACGCCUGGAACGGUGAGUGGAUGAAAGCUCCGGCGGCAUAGGAUGGGCCUGCGGCGUAUCAGGUCGUAGGGGGUGUAACGUACCCUCUAGCCAUCGACGCGUACGGGUGUUGGGAGACAUAGCCCGGAGAUGGAUUCUGAGACACGAAUCCAGACCCUACGGGGUGCAGCAGGCGCGAAAACUUGGCAAUGCGAGAAAUCGUGACCAGGGAACUCCAAGUGGCUGGGGUAAGACCCAGUCUUUUCUUGACUCUUCAAAGGUCUUGGAAUAAGAGGUGGGUAAGGACGGUGCCAGCCGCCGCGGUAAUACCGGCGCCUCAAGUGGUAGUCGAUUUUAUUGGGCCUAAAACGUCCGUAGCCUGUUUGGUACAUUCGUGGGUAAAUCAACCAGCUCAACUGGUUGAAUUCUGCGAGCACGGCCAGACUUGGGACCGGGAGAGGUGUGGGGUACGCUCAGGGUAGGGGUAAAAUCCUGUCAUCCUGAGCGGACCACCUGUUGCGAAGGCGCCACACUAGAACGGAUCCGACGGUCAGGGACGAAGCCUAGGGGCACGAACCGGAUUAGAUACCCGGGUAGUCCUAGGUGUAAACGCUGUGGACUUGGUGUUGGGGAUUCUCCGAGGAUUCUCAGUGCCGAAGCGAAAGUGAUAAGUCCACUGCCUGGGGAG